Gorilla gorilla gorilla (western lowland gorilla) is the source of this 104-nucleotide small nucleolar RNA. The record is from Ensembl. NCBI's taxonomy places the organism in Eukaryota, Metazoa, Chordata, Mammalia, Primates, Hominidae.
AUCCUUUUGUAGUUCAUAAGCAUGAUAAUUGGGUUUUCAUGCUCAUGUGUGAGCCGUACCUCCCUUAAACCUUGUUAUGAUGUUGACACAUUACCUGUCUGACA